Molecule: long non-coding RNA, 347 nt
Filed under: Lathyrus oleraceus (garden pea)
Lineage: Eukaryota; Viridiplantae; Streptophyta; Magnoliopsida; Fabales; Fabaceae
Description: Pisum sativum (pea) long non-coding RNA (PSAT_LNC040665)
Source: RNAcentral
UUGAAGAUUCUGUUUCUCUUGCUAAAUAGCAGUUGUUGUCUAUUGCAAGAGAAUGGCGCUUCUCAGUUGAGUUGCUUUCCUUUAGCAAGACACCUCUCUACCUUUUGCAGAAGGGCCCAUUUCAAUACUUCUUAUCCGUGGGUACUUGCCUUUUGCAAAUGCUCAUCUCUUUUGCCGUCGUGGAAUCCUGCGAGAAUACCUCGAUCACCUGUUGCAUGCUAAGACAUGAUGGGGGAGGUGAGGAAAGGGCAAUAUGAAAAAGGAUAAAAAGAAAGAAUAAAAACAUAAAGAAAAAAAAAGAAUGAGAAAGAAAAAGAAUGAAAAGGAAUAAAAGCUAAGAGAAAGAC